UAGGAGGUAGUACAUAAGGAAGUACCGAAAGCUUUGGGCUUUCUAGUUCAAGUUCGAGUCUUGACCUUCUAG
Molecule: transfer RNA, 72 nt
Filed under: Python bivittatus (Burmese python)
Lineage: Eukaryota; Metazoa; Chordata; Lepidosauria; Squamata; Pythonidae
Description: tRNA-Gln
Source: RNAcentral